This 831-nucleotide ribosomal RNA is filed under the name Fusarium phaseoli. RNAcentral's name for it is "eukaryotic LSU rRNA". It matches the Rfam family "Eukaryotic large subunit ribosomal RNA", at positions 74 to 935 of the family's 3401-position model. Lineage: Eukaryota; Fungi; Ascomycota; Sordariomycetes; Hypocreales; Nectriaceae. The record is from RNAcentral.
AUUGCCUCAGUAACGGCGAGUGAAGCGGCAACAGCUCAAAUUUGAAAUCUGGCUCUCGGGCCCGAGUUGUAAUUUGUAGAGGAUGCUUUUGGUGCGGUGCCUUCCGAGUUCCCUGGAACGGGACGCCAUAGAGGGUGAGAGCCCCGUCUGGUUGGAUGCCAAUCCUCUGUAAAGCUCCUUCGACGAGUCGAGUAGUUUGGGAAUGCUGCUCUAAAUGGGAGGUAUAUGUCUUCUAAAGCUAAAUACCGGCCAGAGACCGAUAGCGCACAAGUAGAGUGAUCGAAAGAUGAAAAGAACUUUGAAAAGAGAGUUAAAAAGUACGUGAAAUUGUUGAAAGGGAAGCGCUUGUGACCAGACUUGGGCUUGGUUGAUCAUCCAGGGUUCUCCCUGGUGCACUCUUCCGGCCCAGGCCAGCAUCAGUUUGCCCCGGGGGAUAAAGGCGUCGGGAAUGUGGCUCCCUCCGGGGAGUGUUAUAGCCCGGCGCGCAAUACCCUGAGGCGGACUGAGGUUCGCGCAUUCGCAAGGAUGCUGGCGUAAUGGUCAUCAGUGACCCGUCUUGAAACACGGACCAAGGAGUCGUCUUCGUAUGCGAGUGUUCGGGUGUCAAACCCCUACGCGUAAUGAAAGUGAACGCAGGUGAGAGCUUCGGCGCAUCAUCGACCGAUCCUGAUGUUUUCGGAUGGAUUUGAGUAAGAGCAUACGGGGCCGGACCCGAAAGAAGGUGAACUAUGCCUGUAUAGGGUGAAGCCAGAGGAAACUCUGGUGGAGGCUCGCAGCGGUUCUGACGUGCAAAUCGAUCGUCAAAUAUGGGCAUGGGGGCGAAAGACUAAU